RNAcentral lists this ribosomal RNA (440 nucleotides) under uncultured bacterium. Its description in RNAcentral is "partial 16S ribosomal RNA". It matches the Rfam family "Bacterial small subunit ribosomal RNA", at positions 338 to 795 of the family's 1533-position model. The record is from RNAcentral.
CCUACGGGUGGCAGCAGUGGGGAAUAUUGCACAAUGGGGGAAACCCUGAUGCAGCGACGCCGCGUGAGUGAAGAAGUAUUUCGGUAUGUAAAGCUCUAUCAGCAGGGAAGAAAAUGACGGUACCUGAUUAAGAAGCCCCGGCUAACUACGUGCCAGCAGCCGCGGUCAUACGUAGGGGGCAAGCGUUAUCCGGAUUUACUGGGUGUAAAGGGAGCGUAGACGGCAGCACAAGUCUGGAGUGAAAUGCCGGGGCUUAACCCCGGAACUGCUUUGGAAACUGUGUAGCUAGAGUGCAGGAGAGGUAAGUGGAAUUCCUAGUGUAGCGGUGAAAUGCGUAGAUAUUAGGAGGAACACCAGUGGCGAAGGCGGGUUACUGGACUGUAACUGACGUUGAGGCUCGAAAGCGUGGGGAGCAAACAGGAUUAGAUACCCCAGUAGUC